This 498-nucleotide ribosomal RNA is filed under the name uncultured bacterium. RNAcentral describes it as "partial 16S ribosomal RNA". It matches the Rfam family "Bacterial small subunit ribosomal RNA", at positions 29 to 523 of the family's 1533-position model. The record is from RNAcentral.
AGUGAACGCUGGCGGCAUGCCUUACACAUGCAAGUCGAACGGUAACAGGUCUUCGGAUGCUGACGAGUGGCGAACGGGUGAGUAAUACAUCGGAACGUGCCUAGUAGUGGGGGAUAACUACUCGAAAGAGUGGCUAAUACCGCAUGAGAUCUACGGAUGAAAGCAGGGGAUCGCAAGACCUUGUGCUACUAGAGCGGCCGAUGGCAGAUUAGGUAGUUGGUGGGAUAAAAGCUUACCAAGCCGACGAUCUGUAGCUGGUCUGAGAGGACGAUCAGCCGCACUGGGACUGAGACACGGCCCAGACUCAUACGGGAAGCAGCAGUGGGGAAUUUUGGACAAUGGGCGAAAGCCUGAUCCAGCAAUGCCGCGUGCAGGAUGAAGGCCUUCGGGUUGUAAACUGCUUUUGUACGGAACGAAAAGCCCCGGGUUAAUACCCUGGGGUCAUGACGGUACCGUAAGAAUAAGCACCGGCUAACUACGUGCCAGCAGCCGCAGUAA